RNAcentral lists this transfer RNA (62 nucleotides) under Archaeocroton sphenodonti (tuatara tick). RNAcentral's name for it is "tRNA-Leu". Lineage: Eukaryota; Metazoa; Arthropoda; Arachnida; Ixodida; Ixodidae. The record is from RNAcentral.
AUUAAAGUGGCAGAUUUAAUUGCCAGGAAUUUAAGCUUCCUUUAUGAAUAAUUCCUUUAAUA